CUAUCCUCGGCAGUGGAUGGUCCGGCGGCGCUGAUCUUGCGCCAUCGGCUAAGAGGGAAUGCGAAGGGACGACCCAAUCGGGGUCCCGCGUCGCAGCCGACCCCGCGACUGUAGAGCGGCGAGGUCCUUCCACCCCCGCGAUUCGCGUCAGCGAAUUCGCGCGGCGACGAACGCUGAUCGCGUUUGCGUGGUGACAAAUGCCUUCGGCAUUUGCGCAGCGACAAGCGCCAUCCGCAUUUGCGCAGCGACAAAUGCCUUCGGCAUUUGCGCAGGGGGAAACGCCACUGGCGCCGCAAGGGGCUGGGAAGGCAGGAAGAGACCGACGACCCGCGAGCCAGGAGACCUGCCAUCCCUUGGAAAAGGCC
This 365-nucleotide non-coding RNA is filed under the name Aureimonas sp. Leaf460. The record is from RNAcentral. Lineage: Bacteria; Pseudomonadati; Pseudomonadota; Alphaproteobacteria; Hyphomicrobiales; Aurantimonadaceae. RNAcentral also lists the same sequence under 1 other name.